CUAAUACAUGCAAGUCGAACGAAUCUCUUUUAGAGAUGAGUGGCGAACGGGUGAGUAAUACAUAGGUAACCUGCCCCUGUGCGGGGGAUAACAGGAGGAAACUCCUGCUAAUACCGCAUAGCCAUGAGCACCGCAUGGAGCUCAUGCCAAAUAUCCUUUCGGGGAUAGCGCAGGGAUGGACCUAUGGCGCAUUAGCUGGUUGGCGGGGCAACGGCCCACCAAGGCAACGAUGCGUAGCCGGCCUGAGAGGGCGGACGGCCACAUUGGGACUGAGACACGGCCCAGACUCCUACGGGAGGCAGCAGUAGGGAAUUUUCGGCAAUGGGGGAAACCCUGACCGAGCAACGCCGCGUGAGCGAAGAAGGCCUUCGGGUCGUAAAGCUCUGUUGUAAAGGAAGAACGGCGCAUACAGGAAAUGGUAUGCGAGUGACGGUACUUUACCAGAAAGCCACGGCUAACUACGUGCCAGCAGCCGCGGUAAUACGUAGGUGGCGAGCGUUAUCCGGAAUCAUUGGGCGUAAAGAGGGAGCAGGCGGCCGCAAGGGUCUGUGGUGAAAGACCGAAGCUAAACUUCGGUAAGCCAUGGAAACCGGGCGGCUAGAGUGCGGAAGAGGAUCGUGGAAUUCCAUGUGUAGCGGUGAAAUGCGUAGAUAUAUGGAGGAACACCAGUGGCGAAGGCGACGGUCUGGGCCGCAACUGACGCUCAUUCCCGAAAGCGUGGGGAGCAAAUAGGAUUAGAUACCCUAGUAGUCCACGCCGUAAACGAUGGUCACUAAGUGUCGGGGGUCAAACCCCGGUGCUGCAGUCAACGCAAUAAGUGACCCGCCUGAGUAGUACGUUCGCAAGAAUGAAACUCAAAGGAAUUGACGG
Molecule: ribosomal RNA, 870 nt
Filed under: uncultured bacterium
Lineage: Bacteria
Description: bacterial SSU rRNA
Rfam family: Bacterial small subunit ribosomal RNA
Source: RNAcentral